GUGAUCCUCCUGCCUCAAUCGACCAAGUUGCUGGGGUUACAGCAUUUUGCUAACGCUAACAGCAAGCAACUAGCCAUCUCCAGGACAACCUCCAAAUGAAGUGGCAGCAGAACAGGUCCCUGGUGACCUCCCUGUGGUUUACACCCACAAGGAUGUAACCAGAGGUCCCCACUGGGCCUAACCAGAAAUGCCACCCAGCCUUCAACAUGGAGAAAAGAGGACAAGCACUCUCUUUGAGAGAAGUUACAUCAGCCUAAUACAUUUCCUCAAGUAACUCCUCCUGAGGAUGACAAGCGGCUCACCUGAGAGGCUGGGGAUCUAUGGGAGACUCCAACAACAUCAUGGCUCCAAGCAGGGGAACAGUAAGGAAGACAGCCAGCAUCAAGAAGGUCACCCGGAAAACUCUACCACUAAAGGAGCUGCCAAAAAUAACACACAAAGGCAAUCAACAGUGCUCUACACAGUGACAAGCUUGGGUGAUCUGAAGGCCCUUUAUGCAGAAAUAGGACCACAUACCCAGUUUCCCACUGAUAGGUCACCAACUUCUAUGGCUUGUGAUUAA
Molecule: long non-coding RNA, 562 nt
Organism: Marmota flaviventris (yellow-bellied marmot)
Lineage: Eukaryota; Metazoa; Chordata; Mammalia; Rodentia; Sciuridae
Source: RefSeq, a predicted model, not a curated record